GAUGAACGCUGGCGGCGUGCCUAAUACAUGCCAGUCGAGCGAACGGACGAGAAGCUUGCUUCUCUGAUGUUAGCGGCGGACGGGUGAGUAACACGUGGAUAACCUACCUAUAAGACUGGGAUAACUUCGGGAAACCGGAGCUAAUACCGGAUGAUAUUUUGAACCGCAUGGUUCAAAAGAGAAAGACGGUCUUGCUGUCACUUAUAGAUGGAUCCGCUCUUCAUUAGCUAGUUGGUAAGGUAACGGCUUACCAAGGCAACGAUGCAUAGCCGACCUGAGAGGGUGAUCGGCCACACUGGAACUGGGACACGGUCCCGACUCCUACGGGAGGCAGCAGUAGGGAAUCUUCCGCAAUGGGCGAAAGCCUGACGGAGCAACGCCGCGUGAGUGAUGAAGGUCUUCGGAUCGUAAAACUCUGUUAUUAGGGAAGAACAUAUGUGUAAGUAACUGUGCACAUCUUGACGGUACCUAAUAAGAAAGCCACGGCUAACUACGUG
RNAcentral lists this ribosomal RNA (497 nucleotides) under uncultured bacterium. RNAcentral describes it as "partial 16S ribosomal RNA". It matches the Rfam family "Bacterial small subunit ribosomal RNA", at positions 28 to 507 of the family's 1533-position model. The record is from RNAcentral.